AGAGUUGAUCAUGGCUCAGGAUGAACGCUAGCUACAGGCUUAACACAUGCAAGUCGAGGGGCAGCAUAACGAAAGCUUGCUUUGUUGAUGGCGACCGGCGCACGGGUGAGUAACGCGUAUCCAACCUUCCCUAUACUAGAGGAUAGCCCGGCGAAAGUCGGAUUAAUACUCUAUGUUCUUCGUAGAAGACAUCUGAAAUGAAGCAAAGGUUUACCGGUAUAGGAUGGGGGAUGCGUCUGAUUAGGUUGUUGGCGGGGUAACGGCCCACCAAGCCCACGAUCAGUAGGGGUUCUGAGAGGAAGGUCCCCCACAUUGGAACUGAGACACGGUCCAAACUCCUACGGGAGGCAGCAGUGAGGAAUAUUGGUCAAUGGACGAGAGUCUGAACCAGCCAAGUAGCGUGCAGGAUGACGGCCCUAUGGGUCGUAAACUGCUUUUAUACAGGGAUAAAGUGACGUACGUGUACGUUUUUGUAGGUACUGUAUGAAUAAGGACCGGCUAAUUCCGUGCCAGCAGCGGC
This 520-nucleotide ribosomal RNA is filed under the name uncultured bacterium. Its description in RNAcentral is "bacterial SSU rRNA". It matches the Rfam family "Bacterial small subunit ribosomal RNA", at positions 8 to 518 of the family's 1533-position model. The record is from RNAcentral.